GGCUGGUCUGAGUGCAGUGGUGUUUACAAUGAACUGAUCACAGCCAGUUACAGAUUUCUUUGUUCCUUCUCCACUCCCACUGCUUUGCUUGACUAGGCUUAA
Unclassified non-coding RNA from Ursus americanus (American black bear), 102 nucleotides. It matches the Rfam family "Y RNA". From Rfam's summary of the family: Y RNAs are components of the Ro ribonucleoprotein particle (Ro RNP), in association with Ro60 and La proteins. The Y RNAs and Ro60 and La proteins are well conserved, but the function of the Ro RNP is not known. NCBI's taxonomy places the organism in Eukaryota, Metazoa, Chordata, Mammalia, Carnivora, Ursidae. The record is from Ensembl.